UUUUUUAUUCUGUGUUGAAAUUCUCAUUCUGGCACUUUCACUCCUGGCAGAAGUCCAAUGUGCAUCGUUUAAAUAUUUAACAUUGCUUAGCUCCUGGCAUUGCGACUCCUGGCUGACAGGUAAUAAGGUCAUCAAAACGCCAGCGCUCGAUGCGGUUUUGUCGACUGAUUUAUGAAGUUGUGUGGUCAGCAUGCAGCCAGCAGUGGAAGCGGAAGACGCCGAGGGGGUGGUGGACCGAAGGGGGCGGAAAGUGCAGCCACAGCCAGCCAACCAGCCAACCAGCCAGCCAGUCGUGACAACUCAAUCGAGGACAGCGCGCAUACGCCACGUAGUUCGCAGUCACCUUGGGGGAAAUGGGGAAUGGGGAUUGGCAAGGAUGCGUCGCUUGGUCAGUCACAGAUUUCGCCUUGUUCUCUCCUUCUUCCGGUGGCUUUUUUUGGAAAGCGAUUUAUAAGCGUUGCAAGCAUAAAUAAACAAACAGAUGUCGGCAAAAAGCAAAACAAAAUCAGACCAGGGAGGACAUCGCAUAAAGAACUGACUGGCAACAUGUGCCUGGCCUUCGUUUUUCUCGCUGGCUGCCAAUUUGUGCAGAUUUAUAGAGGCUGUCGACGUCA
Molecule: long non-coding RNA, 614 nt
Organism: Drosophila gunungcola (fruit fly)
Lineage: Eukaryota; Metazoa; Arthropoda; Insecta; Diptera; Drosophilidae
Exons: 2
Source: RefSeq, a predicted model, not a curated record